Molecule: small RNA, 105 nt
Filed under: Epilithonimonas lactis
Lineage: Bacteria; Pseudomonadati; Bacteroidota; Flavobacteriia; Flavobacteriales; Weeksellaceae
Description: Chryseobacterium halperniae Flavo-1 RNA
Rfam family: Flavo-1 RNA
Source: RNAcentral
CCCUAGCCCCGAUUGCAGUGGAAAUCCUUUUUUGCGCUUGCGGAAAGUUCUAUUUAGAGCGAAAUUGUCGGGCAAAAAAGAUUGCAACGGAAAGCGGGAAAUAGC